RNAcentral lists this ribosomal RNA (601 nucleotides) under uncultured archaeon. Its description in RNAcentral is "bacterial SSU rRNA". It matches the Rfam family "Archaeal small subunit ribosomal RNA", at positions 319 to 923 of the family's 1478-position model. The record is from RNAcentral.
UCCCUAUGGGGUGCAGCAGGCGCGAAACCUCCUCAAUGCACUCACGUGCGAAGGGGUUACCUCGAGUGCUACCUGAAGAAGGUGGCUUUUCCUUGGUCUAAAAAGCCUUGGGAAUAAGAGGGGGGCAAGACUGGUGUCAGCCGCCGCGGUAACACCAGCCCCUCGAGUGGUGGGGAUGAUUAUUUGGUCUAAAGCGUCCGUAGCCGGCCGUGUAAGUUUCCCGUUAAAUCCAUCGUCUCAAGCGUUGGACUGCGGGAAAUACUGCUCGGCUAGAGAGUGGGAGAGGUCAACGGUAUUCCGGGGGUAGGGGCGAAAUCCUUUGAUCCCCGGAGGACCACCAGUGGCGAAGGCUGUUGACUAGAACACGUCUGACGGUCAGGGACGAAAGCUGGGGUAGCGAACCGGAUUAGAUACCCGGGUAGUCCCAGCCGUAAACGAUGCAUGCUAGGUGUUAGGUUGGCCACGUGCCACCCUAGUGCCGCAGGGAAGCCGUUAAGCAUGCCACCUGGGAAGUACGGCCGCAAGGCUGAAACUUAAAGGAAUUGGCGGGGGAGCACCACCAGGCGUGAAGCCUGCGGUUUAAUUGGAUUCAACGCCGGAA